Molecule: ribosomal RNA, 104 nt
Organism: Vulpes vulpes (red fox)
Lineage: Eukaryota; Metazoa; Chordata; Mammalia; Carnivora; Canidae
Source: Ensembl
GUCUACGGCCAUACUACCCAGAACACAGCGGAUCUUAUCUGAUCUAGCUAAGCAGGGUCAGGCCUGGUUAGUACUUGGAUGGGGGAAAACGGCCUGACGUGACC